This 325-nucleotide unclassified non-coding RNA is filed under the name fungal sp. Its description in RNAcentral is "partial contains 5.8S ribosomal RNA, internal transcribed spacer 2, and large subunit ribosomal RNA". Lineage: Eukaryota; Fungi. The record is from RNAcentral.
CGCACCUUGCACUCUUUGGUUAUUCCGAAGAGUAUGCUUGUUUGAGUGUCGCGAAAUUCUCAACCCCGCCAAGGGCUUUAUUGACUUUGGUUGUUUGGGCUUGGAUACUGGUUGUUGCCAGCCCUUUUGCAAGGACUUUGGCUCGAUUGAAAUACAGCAAGCUGAAUGAACGCACUAAUGCGGCUUGACCUGAUGUUGUAGUUACAAUUCAUCGGGGAUCGCGUUAGAAGGUUCAAGGAGCUUUAACGAAACCCAUAUCUGCUGAGUCUUUCGGGACUUAGUGCAUUAUGACCUCAAAUCAAGUAGGACUACCCGCUGAACUUAA